This is a non-coding RNA of Maylandia zebra (zebra mbuna), 1358 nucleotides long. The record is from RefSeq and is a predicted model, not a curated record. Lineage: Eukaryota; Metazoa; Chordata; Actinopteri; Cichliformes; Cichlidae.
AUGGAGGAAUCACUCAGGUGUAUCUCCCUCUGUGAUCCUGAGGGUGUCCAUGCCUUCAUCCUGGUGCUACCUGUGGCUCCCCUCACUGAUGAAAACAAGAGAGAGUUAGAGACACAGGACACAUUCGGCUCUCGAGUCAAUGACUUCACCAUGAUUCUGUUCACUGUGGACUCAGAUCCUACAGAUACAGCUGUUGGUAACUUUCUAAAUGGAAACCAGGACAUCCAGCAGCUCUGUAAUGAACAGAUGCAGAGCCCAGAAAGUCUCAGGAUUGUGCUGAUAGGUAAGACUGGCUGUGGAAAAAGCACUUCAGGAAACACAAUUCUAGGAAGAGGAGAUACAUUUGUAUCUAAACCUUUCCAAAAGUCGGUCACCAAGCGCUGUCAGAAAGAACAGGGCGAUGUGAACGGUUAUCCUGUUAUUGUGGUCGACACUCCUGGAUUGUUUGACAACAGUUUAACACAUGAACAGAUCAAUGAGGAGAUGUUGAAAUGUGUCAGUCUUCUGGCUCCAGGACCACAUGUCUUCCUACUGGUUGUACAGAUUGCCAGAUUCACACCAGAAGAAAAGGAGACAUGGAACUGAUCAAGAAAGUCUUUGGGAAGAACUCUGAGAAGUUCACCAUUGUUCUUUUCACAAGAGGAGAUUCACUGGAACAUGCAAAGGUGUCUGUUGAAGAAUACAUUGAAAACUCUGAUCAUUCCUUGAAGAAGCUGAUCUCUGACUGUGGAGGAAGAUACCAUGUGUUCAAUAAUUAUAAGCAGAACUGCACACAAGUGAAUGAGCUGAUAACAAAGAUUGACACCAUGGUGAAGAACAAUGGAGGAAACUACUACACCAAUGAGAUGCUGCAAGAGGCUGAAACUGCAAUACAGAAAGAAAUGCAGAGGAUCCUGAAGGAGAAAGAAGAAGAGAUGAAGAGACAGCAGGAAAAGCUUCAAAGUACAUAUGAGGAAAGAAUCCAAUCCAUGAAUAAAAGAAUGGAAGAACAGAAAGCAGAAAUUGAUCAGGAAAUAAAGCUGAGAGACGAACAACUUAAAAAACUGCAGGACAGCAUCCGCAUUCAGUCUGAAGAGAGGAAGAAAGAACAAGAAAUUAGAGACGAAGAAGACAGGAAGAAAACAGAAAAGGAACAACUUCAAAGACGAGAAUGGGAACAAACAAUACAAGAACUUGAGGAAAAACUACGAUCAGAGUCAGAAUCAAGGGAAAUAAUCGAUAAAGAGUGUGAACAUUACAGAGAAAGAACAAGAGAGCAGCAAAAGACUUGGGAGAAGGAAAUAAAGGAAUUGGAGGAAAAACAAGAUCUCAGCGACCACAGGAAGGGCGAGGAUCCUGGAGAUCUCGAGGCCUGCUGA